CGGCCGGAAAAAGGGGUGGUUACUACUAGAUGCAUCUGGUAAUUCAUUUCAACAAGAAGUAUUGACACCGACGGUGGUGUUUCAGCUCCGGCAGCCGGCGGAGCAAGGAUAUGGUGGGUGUUCAGAUUGGUACUUACCGAGGUCCUAUUCUUCAAAUCUGAGACGAAGACGACAACAACGGUGUGUUGAAGGCGGUGACGGUGAUGGGUGUUCAGGAACGACGAUGGUGGGGGUUCGGGGAAGACAAAGAGGGAGGGUUGUGAUAAAACUUCCGAUUUACGUUUGGAGGUGGGGCAACUCCUAAAGAUGACAAGCUCUUUGAUGCGUCGCAAAAUGCUUUUUUUUUUCAUUCAAGAUGUUUUGGAAAAAGGCUGAUUUUGGUUGUUUGGAAGUUGAAGAUGACAAGCCUCUGAAAAGAGUUGGUGAUGAUGAAUACCGAUUGUUUGAUAGAGAUAAGUUGUAUUUGUCUGUUCUACAUGUUGAUAUAAAUUAACCGACACUGGGGGGUCUCCAGUAAGGGUUUCAAUGACCAAAAAGUGGAGUCUAUAUACAUAUCUAAACACCUUAUUAGAAAUGGCUUUAUAUUAUCUAUACAUUUAACAAAUACUGAAAGAGAUCGAGAUUAGAAGCCGAUAAAUAUUAUAUCUAAAAAGUGAUUUGUUUCUUUUAUGUUGUCUAUGCCCUAUUGCAAUACGUAUUCAAUCUUAGCCUAAAACGAUUCGGGUGUGUAAAAGAGCAUAUAUCAUCCAAAUAAUUUAAAAAAAAAACACAGGAUAUUAAGGGUUCUUACAUACCUGAAUGGUUUGGAAAAAAGUGGCGUCUAAGGACAGCAACCAGCCAACCACCAAAAUAGAGAAUGAGGGAUCUUCAGCAAUCAAAGUAUAGAGCAAAGGUGCUGAUAACGUUAAAUGAAAUAAGAAAAAUGAGAAGUGUGUAUUUCUUUCAUUUAUCAACUCAUAUAUAUAUAUACAAUGAUGUAGUCAAACAAUAACUGAAAAUUUAUGUAGUCAAAGCGUAACUGAAAACAUAAUGACUUAGGAGAAGAGUUAGGAGGUAAUAUAUCUGUAUUUAUAACAAUAUAUAUAUAUUGUAAACGUAACACUCCAAAAUCUUUACAUAUUUAUAUAUGUUAAUAUAUAUCUAUAAUACUAUAAAAAGGAGAAGUGAUGUACACACAUGUAAUUUUACAUGGCGUCCAUCAUUUUAUGCAAUAUGUACAAAUAAAUAAUAAAUGUUUUGUGAGGCCAAAAUUGUAAGGAGGUGAAUAUUUUAAGACACUGUAAGUGUAUAAUAGUAAAUUAUACCUACACCCGUACUCACAACCUCAAAAUCCUUUCCAUCCCUGCCCUUAGAAACCUAAUCGAUGCCCUGGAAACUAACUACACGCCUCCUCAUCUUCCCUGUUCAGUUAAACCCUUUAUGAAGCCAGUUAAAGCACCUACCAGUUUUCAUAAAUCAUCCCCAAUUGAGUGGUUUGAGAUUUGAGAUUUAGGUCAAUGGCUCUCCUUGGUAAAUACCCAAUGCUCCUUCAUCUUCAAUAAAACUCUACAAGAACAUAAGCCUGGAUCGUAAGAAGCAUUCUCAGGAUCACCACUUUUCCCAUUCAAGAACAGAAGGGGGGUGAAGAACAUCAUCGCAUAGUUCGUAAUUCUGGUUACGUUUAAGCAGCCGGAAUCGGCGAAAAAAGCGUGUGAAGAUCCGACGCCAGUGAUUAACGGCCAUCGUGCGAAUUGUAACCUAGCAUCGCUCGGUGCUCGCCGUCAGAGAACGUUAACCGUUGUUCACCGCCACCGCACCACCAAUCCUUUUAGUCCAACAUAAGAUCAUUUGGGAAGAAUGAUGAUGGAAGAGAAAAUCGGUCAGAUGGUUCAGAUUCAAAUGCUUGCAGCUACUCCUGAUAUCAUGAGUUGUUUUAAAUGAAGGAAACUUACUAAUUGGUGGAGGGAGUGUUGAUUGGAUUAAUAUGCUACACGAGCUCCCACAUUUUCUACAUGAUCAUGGAUCCAAUGAUUUAUGGAAUUGUUGCUGAUCAUAGUCACAACAAUGUUAUUUAUGCUACAAUAUUUCCACAUAAUAUUGGCCAUAUAGCUACCA
This is a long non-coding RNA of Helianthus annuus (common sunflower), 2094 nucleotides long. RefSeq lists it as uncharacterized. The transcript is spliced from 6 exons. NCBI's taxonomy places the organism in Eukaryota, Viridiplantae, Streptophyta, Magnoliopsida, Asterales, Asteraceae. The record is from RefSeq and is a predicted model, not a curated record.